Small nuclear RNA from Fukomys damarensis (Damara mole-rat), 123 nucleotides. The record is from Ensembl. Lineage: Eukaryota; Metazoa; Chordata; Mammalia; Rodentia; Bathyergidae.
GUAUUGUAUGAACAAGAGAAGGUUAGCACUCCCCUGGACAAAGAAAGAAGAGACCCUUGGACAUGCCAGUGCACAUACAGUUAACGCUUAGUUUCAGGGGUUGGCAUCUAACUGUUGCUUUUC